Salmo trutta (river trout) is the source of this 2802-nucleotide long non-coding RNA. The record is from Ensembl. NCBI's taxonomy places the organism in Eukaryota, Metazoa, Chordata, Actinopteri, Salmoniformes, Salmonidae.
AUGAACAUAAAGAGAACGACAGACCCUCCCCUCCAAUCAUCCAGGAGAACAGACCCUCCCCUCCAAUCAUCCAGGAGAACAGACGCUCCCCCUCCAAUCAUCCAGGAGAACAGACGCUCCCCCUCCAAUCAUCCAGGAGAACAGACGCUCCCCCUCCAAUCAUCCAGGAGAACAGACGCUCCCCCUCCAAUCAUCCAGGGGAACAGACGCUCCCCUCCAAUCAUCCAGGAGAACGACAGACGCUCCCCUCCAAUCAUCCAGGAGAACAGAGGCUCCCCUCCAAUCGUCCGGGAGAACGACAGACGCUCCCCUCCAAUCGUCCAGGAGAACGACAGACCCUCCCCCUCCAAUCAUCCAGGAGAACAGACGCUCCCCUCCAAUCAUCCAGGAGAACGACAGACGCUCCCCUCCAAUCAUCCAGGAGAACAGACCCUCCCCUCCAAUCAUCCAGGAGAACAGACCCUCCCCCUCCAAUCAUCCAGGAGAACAGACGCUCCCCUCCAAUCAUCCAGGAGAACAGACCCUCCCCUCCAAUCAUCCAGGAGAAUAGACCCUCCCCUCCAAUCAUCCAGGAGAACAGACGCUCCCCUCCAAUCAUCCAGGAGAACAGACGCUCCCCUCCAAUCAUCCAGGAGAACAGACCCUCCCCUCCAAUCAUCCAGGAGAACAGACGCUCCCCCUCCAAUCAUCCAGGAGAACGACAGACCCUCCCCUCCAAUCAUCCAGGAGAACGACAGACCCACCCCCUCCAAUCAUCCAGGAGAACAGACGCUCCCCCUCCAAUCAUCCAGGAGAACGACAGACCCUCCCCUCCAAUCAUCCAGGAGAACGACAGACCCACCCCCUCCAAUCAUCCAGGAGAACGACAGACCCUCCCCUCCAAUCAUCCAGGAGAAUGACAGACCCUCCCCUCCAAUCAUCCAGGAGAACAGACGCUCCCCUCCAAUCAUCCAGGAGAACGACAGACCCUCCCCUCCAAUCAUCCAGGAGAACAGACGCUCCCCUCCAAUCAUCCAGGAGAACAGACCCUCCCCCUCCAAUCAUCCAGGAGAACAGACGCUCCCCUCCAAUCAUCCAGGAGAACGACAGACGCUCCCCUCCAAUCAUCCAGGAGAACAGACCCUCCCCCUCCAAUCAUCCAGGAGAACAGACCCUCCCCUCCAAUCAUCCAGGAGAACAGACGCUCCCCCUCCAAUCAUCCAGGAGAACAGACCCUCCCCUCCAAUCAUCCAGGAGAACAGACGCUCCCCCUCCAAUCAUCCAGGAGAACAGACGCUCCCCCUCCAAUCAUCCAGGAGAACAGACGCUCCCCCUCCAAUCAUCCAGGAGAACAGACGCUCCCCCUCCAAUCAUCCAGGAGAACAGACGCUCCCCCUCCAAUCAUCCAGGAGAAAAGACGCUCCCCCUCCAAUCAUCCAGGAGAACGGACGCUCCCCCUCCAAUCAUCCAGGAGAACAGACGCUCCCCUCCAAUCAUCCAGGAGAACGACAGACGCUCCCCUCCAAUCAUCCGGGAGAAGACGCUCCCCCUCCAAUCAUCCAGGAGAACAGAGGCUCCCCUCCAAUCGUCCGGGAGAACGACAGACGCUCCCCUCCAAUCGUCCAGGAGAACGACAGACCCUCCCCCUCCAAUCAUCCAGGAGAACAGACGCUCCCCUCUAAUCAUCCAGGAGAACGACAGACGCUCCCCUCCAAUCAUCCAGGAGAACAGACCCUCCCCUCCAAUCAUCCAGGAGAACAGACCCUCCCCCUCCAAUCAUCCAGGAGAACAGACGCUCCCCUCCAAUCAUCCAGGAGAACAGACCCUCCCCUCCAAUCAUCCAGGAGAACAGACGCUCCCCUCCAAUCAUCCAGGAGAACAGACGCUCCCCUCCAAUCAUCCAGGAGAACAGACCCUCCCCUCCAAUCAUCCAGGAGAACAGACGCUCCCCCUCCAAUCAUCCAGGAGAACGACAUACCCUCCCCUCCAAUCAUCCAGGAGAACGACAGACCCACCCCCUCCAAUCAUCCAGGAGAACAGACGCUCCCCCUCCAAUCAUCCAGGAGAACGACAGACCCUCCCCUCCAAUCAUCCAGGAGAACAACAGACCCACCCCCUCCAAUCAUCCAGGAGAACGACAGACCCUCCCCUCCAAUCAUCCAGGAGAAUGACAGACCAUCCCCUCCAAACAUCCAGGAGAACAGACGCUCCCCUCCAAUCAUCCAGGAGAACGACAGACCCUCCCCUCCAAUCAUCCAGGAGAACAGACGCUCCCCUCCAAUCAUCCAGGAGAACAGACCCUCCCCCUCCAAUCAUCCAGGAGAACAGACCCUCCCCUCCAAUCAUCCAGGAGAACGACAGACGCUCCCCUCCAAUCAUCCAGGAGAACGACAGACGCUCCCCUCCAGUCAUCCAGGAGAACGACAGACGCUCCCCUCCAAUCAUCCAGGAGAACGACAGACGCUCCCCUCCAAUCAUCCAGGAGAACAGACGCUCCCUCUCCAAUCAUCCAGGAGAACGACAGACGCUCCCCUCCAAUCAUCCAGGAGAACGACAGACGCUCCCCCUCCAAUCAUCCAGGAGAACAGACGCUCCCUCUCCAAUCAUCCAGGAGAACGACAGACGCUCCCCUCCAAUCAUCCAGGAGAACGACAGACGCUCCCCCUCCAAUCAUCCAGGAGAAUGACAGACCCUCCCCUUCCAAUCAUCCAGGAGAACAGACGCUCCCCUCCAAUCAUCCAGGAGAACAGACGCUCCCCUCCAAUCAUCCAGGAAAAGCAGACAAGUAGAAGAAGUUUGAUUGAAUCGUUUUUAUUAUGCUAG